This 108-nucleotide small nuclear RNA is filed under the name Equus asinus (donkey). RNAcentral describes it as "7SK RNA". It matches the Rfam family "7SK RNA", at positions 1 to 108 of the family's 331-position model. From Rfam's summary of the family: 7SK was discovered as an abundant small nuclear RNA in the mid-70s but a possible function has only recently been suggested. Two independent studies have found that 7SK RNA binds the CDK9/cyclin T complex (known as elongation factor P-TEFb). P-TEFb activates transcription by phosphorylating the C-terminal domain of RNA polymerase II. Lineage: Eukaryota; Metazoa; Chordata; Mammalia; Perissodactyla; Equidae. RNAcentral also lists the same sequence under 1 other name. The record is from Rfam by way of RNAcentral.
GGAUGUGAGGAUGCUCUGGCUGUGGCAUCUGUCAUCUUAAUGAUUGCUGGGGUUGAUCUGGCUGAUACGACUGGUGAGGCAGCUGUCCUCUUCCUCCCUCACUACUUC